CCUACGGGCGGCUGCAGUGAGGAAUAUUGGUCAAUGGGCGCGAGCCUGAACCAGCCAAGUCGCGUGAGGGAAGACGGUCCUCUGGAUUGUAAACCUCUUUUGUCGGGGAGCAAAAGACGCCACGCGUGGCUUUCCGAGAGUACCCGAAGAAAAAGCAUCGGCGAACUCCGCGCCAGCCGCCGCGGUAAUACGGGGGAUGCGAGCGUUAUCCGGAUUUGUUGGGUUUAAGGGGUGCGCAGGCGGAAGAUCAAGUCAGCGGUAAAAUUGAGAGGCUCAACCUGUUCGAGCCGUUGAAACUGGUGUUCUUGAGUGAGUGAGAAGUAUGCGGAAUGCGUGGUGUAGCGGUGAAAUGCAUAGAUAUCACGCAGAACACCGAUUGCGAAGGCAGCAUACCGGCGCUCAACUGACGCUCAUGCACGAAAGUGUGGGGAUCGAACAGGAUUAGAUACCCCAGUAGUC
This 459-nucleotide ribosomal RNA is filed under the name uncultured bacterium. RNAcentral describes it as "partial 16S ribosomal RNA". It matches the Rfam family "Bacterial small subunit ribosomal RNA", at positions 338 to 795 of the family's 1533-position model. The record is from RNAcentral.